UGGGCUAUAGCCAAGCGGUAAGGCAGCGGUUUUUGGUACCGUUAUUCGCUGGUUCGAAUCCAGCUAGCCCAG
Molecule: transfer RNA, 72 nt
Organism: Pontibacillus litoralis JSM 072002
Lineage: Bacteria; Bacillati; Bacillota; Bacilli; Caryophanales; Bacillaceae
Rfam family: tRNA
About the family: Transfer RNA (tRNA) molecules are approximately 80 nucleotides in length. Their secondary structure includes four short double-helical elements and three loops (D, anti-codon, and T loops).
Source: Rfam